This 253-nucleotide ribosomal RNA is filed under the name uncultured bacterium. RNAcentral's name for it is "partial 16S ribosomal RNA". It matches the Rfam family "Archaeal small subunit ribosomal RNA", at positions 474 to 727 of the family's 1478-position model. The record is from RNAcentral.
UACCAGCACCCCGAGUGGUCGGGACGAUUAUUGGGCCUAAAGCAUCCGUAGCCGGUCAUGCAAGUCUUCCGUUAAAUCCAGCCGCUCAACGGUUGGGCUGCGGAGGAUACUACGUGGCUAGGAGGCGGGAGAGGCAAGCGGUACUCAGUGGGUAGGGGUAAAAUCCUUUGAUCCAUUGAAGACCACCAGUGGCGAAGGCGGCUUGCCAGAACGCGCUCGACGGUGAGGGAUGAAAGCCGGGGGAGCAAACCGG